This 75-nucleotide transfer RNA is filed under the name Planctomycetota bacterium. Its description in RNAcentral is "tRNA-Pro". It matches the Rfam family "tRNA". Rfam says of the family: Transfer RNA (tRNA) molecules are approximately 80 nucleotides in length. Their secondary structure includes four short double-helical elements and three loops (D, anti-codon, and T loops). Lineage: Bacteria; Pseudomonadati; Planctomycetota. The record is from RNAcentral. RNAcentral also lists the same sequence under 1 other name.
CGGGGCGUGGCGCAACCUGGAUAGCGCGCUUGCUUGGGGUGCAAGAGGUUGGAGGUUCAAAUCCUCUCGCCCCGA